GCCACUUUAGCUCAGUCGGUAGAGCGGCUCACUCGUAAUGAGCAGGUCGACAGUUCGAUUCUGUCAAGUGGCUCCA
Molecule: transfer RNA, 76 nt
Filed under: Bifidobacterium adolescentis
Lineage: Bacteria; Bacillati; Actinomycetota; Actinomycetes; Bifidobacteriales; Bifidobacteriaceae
Also listed under: 131 other names
Description: tRNA-Thr (CGT) (tRNA-Thr-CGT-1-1)
Rfam family: tRNA
About the family: Transfer RNA (tRNA) molecules are approximately 80 nucleotides in length. Their secondary structure includes four short double-helical elements and three loops (D, anti-codon, and T loops).
Source: RNAcentral